GACAGCUUUUUGAACGUUCGAUCUCAAAUCAGGUAGGAUUACCCGCUGAACUUAAGCAUAUCAAUAAGCGGAGGAAAAGAAACUAACAAGGAUUCCCCCUAGUAACUGCGAGUGAAGCGGGAAGAGCUCAAAUUUAAAAUCUGGCGUGCCUCUGGUCGUCCGAGUUGUAGUCUGAAGAAGCGUUUUCCGUGUUGGACCGUGUAUAAGUCUCUUGGAACAGGGCGUCAUAGAGGGUGAGAAUCCCGUCUUUGACACGGACUGCCAAUGCUUUGUGAUGCGCUCUCAAAGAGUCGAGUUGUUUGGGAAUGCAGCUCAAAAUGGGUGGUAAAUUCCAUCUAAAGCUAAAUAUAGGCGAGAGACCGAUAGCGAACAAGUACCGUGAGGGAAAGAUGAAAAGCACUUUGGAAAGAGAGUUAAACAGUACGUGAAAUUGCUGAAAGGGAAACGCUUGAAGUCAGUCGUGUCUGCCAGGACUCAGCCUUGCUUCUGCUUGGUGUACUUUCUGGUUGGACAGGCCAACAUCAAUUUCGACCGUUGGAGAAAGGCUUUGGGAAUGUGGCACCUUCGGGUGUGUUAUAGCCCUUUGUCGUAUACGACGGUUGGGAUUGAGGACCGCAGCACGCCUUUAUGGCCGGGGUUCGCCCACGUACGUGCUUAGGAUGUCGGCAUAAUGGCUUUAAGCGACCCGUCU
Molecule: ribosomal RNA, 691 nt
Filed under: uncultured Tomentella
Lineage: Eukaryota; Fungi; Basidiomycota; Agaricomycetes; Thelephorales; Thelephoraceae
Description: eukaryotic LSU rRNA
Rfam family: Eukaryotic large subunit ribosomal RNA
Source: RNAcentral